GUGAGUCAUCGAAUCUUUGAACGCACCUUGCGCUCCUUGGUAUUCCGAGGAGCAUGCCUGUUUGAGUGUCUUGAAAUCAUCAAACCCCUCUGGUUUCUGCUGGAGCGGGUUUGGACUUGGGGGUUUUGCUGCCUCUGGCGGCUCCCCUUAAAUGAAUCGGUCGGGCUUAUCGUGUGCCGGUCCACGGGCGUUGUAUCACCCUCGUCCUGGGAUGGCGCUCGACUCGAAGGCCCCUCCUCGACCUGCCUAUGGAGUGGCGGUCAACUUCAAUUUGUGAUCUGACCUCAAAUCAGGUAGGAC
RNAcentral lists this unclassified non-coding RNA (300 nucleotides) under uncultured Trechisporales. Its description in RNAcentral is "sequence contains 5.8S rRNA gene, ITS2". The stretch from base 1 to 71 matches the Rfam family "5.8S ribosomal RNA", at positions 84 to 154 of the family's 154-position model. The record is from RNAcentral. Lineage: Eukaryota; Fungi; Basidiomycota; Agaricomycetes; Trechisporales.